Molecule: ribosomal RNA, 506 nt
Filed under: uncultured bacterium
Lineage: Bacteria
Description: partial 16S ribosomal RNA
Rfam family: Bacterial small subunit ribosomal RNA
Source: RNAcentral
AUUGAACGCUGGCGGCAGGCCUAACACAUGCAAGUCGAACGGCAGCACAGAAGAGCUUGCUCUUUGGGUGGCGAGUGGCGGACGGGUGAGUAAUGUCUGGGAAGCUGCCCGAUGGAGGGGGAUAACUACUGGAAACGGUAGCUAAUACCGCAUAACGUCGCAAGACCCAAGUGGGGGACCUUCGGGCCUCACACCAUCGGAUGUGCCCAGAGGGGAUUAGCUAGUAGGUGGGGUAAUGGCUCACCUAGGCGACGAUCCCCAGCUGGGCUGAGGAGAUGAACAGCAACACGGGACAUACGACAACGUGCAGACUCCUACGGGAGACAGCAGUGAGGAAUAUUUGACAAGUGGCGCAAGCUUGAUGCAGCCACUCCGCGUGUAUGAAGAAGGGCUUCGGGUUGUAAAGUACUUUCAGCGGGGAGGAAGGAGGUAAGGUUAAUAACCUCGCCGAUUGACGUUACCCGCAGAAGAAGCACCGGCUAACUCCGUGCCAGCAGCCGCAGUAA